Molecule: ribosomal RNA, 629 nt
Filed under: Thanatephorus sp. RS95
Lineage: Eukaryota; Fungi; Basidiomycota; Agaricomycetes; Cantharellales; Ceratobasidiaceae
Description: eukaryotic LSU rRNA
Rfam family: 5.8S ribosomal RNA (bases 222-375)
Source: RNAcentral
AAUGUAGAGUUUGGUUGUAGCUGGCUCCUAAUUAAACUUGGGGGCAUGUGCACACCUUUCUCUUUCAUCCCAUACACACCUGUGCACCUGUGAGACAGAUGUUUUGUGGGGGGGAAGGAACUUUAUUGGACCUUCUACUCCCCCUUGACUUCUGUCUACUUAAUUCAUAUAAACUCAAUUUAUUUUAAAACGGAUGUAAUGGAUGUAACACAUCUAAUACUAAGUUUCAACAACGGAUCUCUUGGCUCUCGCAUCGAUGAAGAACGCAGCGAAAUGCGAUAAGUAAUGUGAAUUGCAGAAUUCAGUGAAUCAUCGAAUCUUUGAACGCACCUUGCGCUCCUUGGUAUUCCUUGGAGCAUGCCUGUUUGAGUAUCAUGAAAUCUUCAAAGUCAAACCUUUUGUUAAUUCAAUUGGUUCUGCUUUGGUAUUGGAGGAUUAUUGCAGCUUCACACCUGCUCCUCUUUGUGCAUUAGCUGGAUCUCAAGUGUUAUGCUUGGUUCCACUCAGCGUGAUAAGGUAUCUAUCGCUGAGGACCCCUGUUAAAAAAGGGUGGCCAAGGUAAAUGCAGAUGAACCGCUUCUAAUAGUCCAUGGCUUGGACCAAUAUCUAAUUAAUGACCGGAUCUCAAA